GUUUAAUUAGUUUAAUUUUUUAAAAUUAUAAAUUGUGGAUUUAUAGAUGAAUUUAUUUCAUUAGACA
RNAcentral lists this transfer RNA (67 nucleotides) under Dermacentor silvarum. RNAcentral describes it as "tRNA-His". The record is from RNAcentral. Lineage: Eukaryota; Metazoa; Arthropoda; Arachnida; Ixodida; Ixodidae.